GUGGAGCAUUACGAUGAAUUGACCAAUUCAGACAAACGACAAGGUGAUUUAGACUUGCUCGAUAAAUCUCGAAGACAAGCUCAACUAACAAUGGCUUCUUAUCAACAAAGAAUAACUCGGUAUUACAAUUUCUAGGUUAACCUUAAGAUCUUCCAAAUAGGAGAUUUUGUCCUUAGAAGAGCUGAAGUUUUCAAACCGAUCGAGCAAGAAAAAUUAUCUCUGA
Molecule: long non-coding RNA, 223 nt
Filed under: Elaeis guineensis (African oil palm)
Lineage: Eukaryota; Viridiplantae; Streptophyta; Magnoliopsida; Arecales; Arecaceae
Description: long non-coding RNA (EGUI_LNC004274)
Source: RNAcentral